This 1547-nucleotide long non-coding RNA is filed under the name Sus scrofa (pig). RNAcentral's name for it is "lncRNA (ENSSSCG00025005072.1)". Lineage: Eukaryota; Metazoa; Chordata; Mammalia; Artiodactyla; Suidae. The record is from RNAcentral.
ACUUACAAAGUUGUGUUAGGUUCAGGUGCACAGCAAAGCACAUCAGUAAUACAUACGCAUAUGUCCACUCCCUUUGUGAUUCUUUUCCCAUAUAGGUUAUUGUGCAGGCUUGAGUACAGCUCCCUGUGCCGUAUGCUAGGUCCCUGUUACUUACCUAUUUUAUAUAAAGUGGUGUUUAUAGGUCCAUCCCAACCCCCUAAUUCAUCCUUCCCCUCACCUUUCCCCUUGGGUAGCCACGACAUUGGCUUCCAAAUCUUUGAAUAGGACUCCUUUUGUUGGAGGAGUCAAUUUCCCUGAAAAUGACCCACAGGUUCCAUGUUAUCCAACUAUAAACCAUAAGGAGCCUCUUUGCAGGCAUGACCAAGCAUCCUUUAAAAUUUACAUGCAAAUGCAAAGGUCUCAGAUCCUCCAAACCAAACCAUCUUGAAAAUAAGGGCAAGGAAGCACUAAAAAAUGACAGGCAAUGUGCUUCCAAUAGCCGGACAAUGACCUUUCCUCCAAAGAAGGCUGCAAGCGGGAGUGUUAGGGCAGAAGGACAUACAGGUAGGGCAGAAGGAUGCAGCACCAAAGGUUUGAGCAACAGGCAGGAAAGAGCUGCCUGUUCUUCAGUUGGUGAAGCCGGCAGAUAGGCUUCACGAGGAGGAUGGAGAGUUUAACACAGAGAGACAACUGUGUGACCUUCCAGUGGCGACGGUGAGGUGAAAGCAGGGCUUGGGAGUCUGGAUUCAGGGCAGGGUAUAUCAUGCAGAGUCAAUACCAAAAAGUUAACAUUUCAACCUGAGACUAAGUUAGGUCAUCAAGAGAAUGGGUGUCGAUGAAAAAAACUCCAACGAUGACGCCGAGAAUGGAGAAGCCAUGAGGUCCUGCUGUACAGCAGGGAACUCUAUCCAGUCUCUUGGGACAGACCAUUAUAGAAGAUAAUAUAAAGAAAAGAGUGUGUGUGUGUGUGUGUGUGUGUGUGUGUGUGUGGUGUUGUGUGUGACUGCGUCACUUUGCUGUACAACAGAAAUUGCCAGGACACUGUAACUCAACUAUACUGGAAUGAACAUUUAUAAAAGGCUGAAAGAAAAAAGAAAAGAAACUGUCAAGGCAGGAACCUGGGGACACACUGUAACUUUUGGAAUGGAGACAGAAGAGGGAACAAACAGGAGAUGGAUAACAACUGACCACAGCAGCAAAAAGAAAAUCAGCACAGUAGGUGCUCUUGAAUAAAGAAGGAUUUUACUGAGGAGGAGGGAGGGCUCAAUUUGUGUCAGAGUGUGACUGGAUCACGGAAAAUGAGGAUUAUGGAUCACCCAUUAGAUUUAAUAAUAGGAGGCUCAUUGCAGUUAGUGAACCCAACUAGUAUCCAUGAGGAUGCAGGUUUGAUCCCUGGCCUCGCUCAGUGGGUUAAGGAUCCAGAGUUGCUGUGAGCUGUAGUGUAGGUCACAGACAUGGCUUGGAUCCCGCGUUGCUGUGGCUGUGGUGUAGGCCGGCAGUACAGCUCUGAUUGGACUCCUAGCUUGGGCACCUCCAUAUGCCAUGGGUAUGGCCCUAAAAGACAAAAA